This 3130-nucleotide long non-coding RNA is filed under the name Ananas comosus (pineapple). RNAcentral's name for it is "long non-coding RNA (ACOM_LNC011501)". Lineage: Eukaryota; Viridiplantae; Streptophyta; Magnoliopsida; Poales; Bromeliaceae. The record is from RNAcentral.
UCUCGACCGGGCCCAGGCCCGGGCUCUCCGGCCCGAACGGGUUGAAAAGUGGGUGGUCCCUCGUCGCGCCGCGCGGCAGCGCGAGCCUGGCGUACCGGUCGAAUAGCUCCAGGUUGAGGAACGCGUCGGCCGGGCACUCCAGUUCCGACCGGGUCCGGUCGGGCCCGCUGAAGCCGGGCAUUAUGAGAACGAACCCGCGGAUCCGGACCGGGUUCAGCCCGGCCGGCCCGAACCGGACGGCCAUGUGGUGGGCGAUGUUUCCCCCGGCGGACUCGCCGGAGACGAACACGCGGCUGAAGUCGGCGGAUUCGGCGAGCCAGGGGUCGGCUCCGGCGCCGGCUUCGGCUUCGGCUUGGGAUUUGAGCCAUAGGAGCGCGGUAGCGCCGUCGUCGAUGGCGGCGGGGAGGCGGUGCUCGGGGGCGAGGCGGUAGUCGGCGGAGACGACGAGUACGCCGAGCUCGGCGGCGAGGCGGAGGCAGCCGGCGUGGAAGUUGGGCCACGUCCGAGAGCCGAUGCAGAAGCCGCCGCCGUGGAAGUAGACGAGCACGGGAAGCUUUUCGUUAUCAUAAUCAGAUAGUUCAUGACUAGGUCGGGGACGGUAGAGGCGGAGGAAGAGGCUGUGGGUCGGGUCGAAGAGCACGUCCUUCCACUCGACGGAGCCGUCGUCGCGGUCAGAAUCUACAGGAAAGAUGGGGUCCGGAGAGCGCCGGAUGGUGCCGUCGCUCAGGAGCUGCACGACGCCGCGGCAGUCCUCGACAACGUGCGGAGGAGGAGAAGAGGAGGACGACGACAUGGCGGCGCGGUGGAGGAGAUGCUGGUGUGGAGCUGGAUGUGUUUUGGUUUUUGAGGAUACACAGAGUCUCUCGUUUAGGGUUUACUAAUCGUUUUUUUAUAUUGCAUGCUACUUGCGCCAGGGACAGCUGGUACAUUAUGGGCAUUUGAAUAAUCAUGUGGAAAGAUUAUUACAUAGAAAUAUUAUUGUCGACUACCGUGCAUUCAUAUAUGUCACAUGGAGAUUGCACACAACAAUUCUUUAAAUUCACACUUUAUUACCUUUUUGGUUUGUAUAUAUAUAUACACUGCUUUAUUAUUAUCUUAUUUAAUAGUAGAUUCUAGCAUAAAGAUAGAAUAACAAAAAAACUAACUUUUAGGCUUAGAGAUGAAAAAAUAUAAAUUACGUUUAGCCUUAAUAGAGCUAAUCGUGUGAUCCUUUAUAUCAUUUUAUUAUACAUUAUUUUCUUUCACAAGGAGUCUAAUUUUAGAUAAGGAAACGUUAACAAUUAAGGACUUAAUUUUGACAAGUAUUACAAUUUACAUGUUUUUUUAAUUAUUUGUACAUACUUUGUCACUUUUUUUAUUCAAAAGAUGUAAUGUACUGAAUAAUAUUAUCAAUAAUUUUCUUUCUUACCGACUGUCCCUAGAGCAAGUGGUAAAGGGCUUGAUGGUUGGUACCCGAGACCCAAGUUCGAAUCCUAGUUGAUUCACAUUUCUAGCUAAAUUUAUUUCUAAAUGAAAUAAACGAAACGGUUAGCGUGCUACAUAUCUCUCAAAAAAAAAAAAAUUCUUUUUUUCUUUCUUGGGCAAACCACUUUUGCAUGCGUGCUCAAAAGAAGAAAAAACAAAAAUGAAAACUCAGUUCCGUGGCGAGAGAGUCGUUUACGUUUCGAGCAACUAAAAUCAACUAAAAUAAAAGUAAAGCAUGAAGGAAAAAUAUGAAAUUGCAUAAACUUUGGACCUCCAACAACUCUGUGACACUGAAGUUGUAUAAUACAAAUCUCAACCACAUGAUAAUAAUAAUAAUAAUAAUAAUUAUUAUUAUUAUUUUAUUAAAAAAAAGUAUAUAUCUCUUAUACUUGGCUAGAAUAAAAUUAAUUAAUAGUGGGCGAAGGAUGUUUUAAAGAACACGAAAGUUUAAUAGAGGUGUUUUAUAUAGUACAUAUACUACAUGGGAGUGUGUUGGAUAUCGUUUAAUACAAAACGUUGCUUCUAUCAAACAAUUUUACCUAGAAUGUCUAAACUUAGAAAGAUAUUAUAAAGUAUUUGUGAAAGAGGCGUGGCAUGAAUGAUAUGAUCUACAAAUCGAGAUCCUAUAAAAAAGGCUUCUAACGAGUACCAAAGUGCAAAAACAUGAUUUUUUUUUCUUUUUCAUACUCAGCGUUUCAUAUAGGUACCGUUUGGUUCGGAUAUAAGUAAGAACUAAUUAUUAUAGGGAUAGGUACAAGUAUGGAAAUAAGAAAAAUAGUGUUGGGAUAAAACUUGGAUUGUUUCCAGAAAUUAAAACAAUUUUAGAUAAUUUUAUAUAAAAAAUGAAGGUAUUGGUGGGGAUAAUCGAGAAUUACUAUUCUCGGAUAAAAAAAUAGCGUUUGAAUAUAAACAGGAGGAUAAUGAUCUAUUCCUAUUCUUAUUCCCUAACCAAACGCUGCAUAAGGUUUACCGAAGUGGCGCCGCAGUUGGAUGAGAGGAUAGCAAACGUUGCGACACUGUCACCUUGUCAACAGGGACAACACGGCGAGCCUAUUCUGCUUUUCGAAUUGAUGUAUAUAGCAUGCACAUUUCUAAUAAAAUAUUUGGGAUAUUCAAAACCAGUCUAUUUAUUUUGUUGCUGUUAACAGUACAAUAAUUGUUGCUAGGACCAAAAGCACGCGAAAACGCGAAAUUGAUUGUUGAUCCCGUUCACACCGAUUCGUUGCUGAGCUCGGUCAUGAACCGCUUGAUGAUCCGGACCAGCUCCCCGACCGGCUCGGACCACGGCUUUGUCGCGAAGAACCCGUGCUCCUGCCCCUGGAUUUCGACGAGCUCCACACGCUUCCCCAGCUCCCUCAUCUUCACCACGUACUCCACGUCCCGGUCCCUCAGGAUAUCUCGCUCGGCCGUCACCACGAGGAUCGGGCCGGUCUCGACCGGGCCCAGGCUCGGGCUCUCCGGUCCGAACGGGUUGAAAAUCGGGUGGUUCUUCGUCGCGCCGCGCGGCAGUGCGAGCCGGGUGUACCGGUCGAAUAGCUCCAGGUUGAGGAACGCGUCGGCCGGGCACUCUAGCUCCGACCGGGUCCGGUCGGCCCCGCCGAAGGCGGGCAUUAGGAGAAUGAACCCGCGGAUCCGGACCGGGUUCAGGCCGGCCGGCCCGAACCGG